RNAcentral lists this long non-coding RNA (1016 nucleotides) under Brachypodium distachyon (stiff brome). Its description in RNAcentral is "long non-coding RNA (BDIS_LNC005284)". The record is from RNAcentral. Lineage: Eukaryota; Viridiplantae; Streptophyta; Magnoliopsida; Poales; Poaceae.
CAGGAGUACUACAGUGGAGUAGACACCAAGGAAUCGUAGUUGGCUACAGAAGUUGGGCUGGUAUUAACGCGCGGACAUAUAUAAAUUGGAUGCCGGCGGCUAAGUUUGGCUGAUAAUAUCUCCCAACUGUCAGCUCGUCCCUGGAGACUGUGCAUAUUCAACUCCAUGCAGAUUUAUUGGGGGGAGACAUGGUCUCGUAGACUCGUAGCUAGCUAGCUCGCUAUAGCACGUGCACCUCCUGUGGGAAGAGAGAGAUAUAUAUACACACACACAUACAUACACACACACACAGAGACGCCGGCCCUCUUCGUUUAGUGAGAAAUAUAGGUGUGAACUUGUUUGUUUCAUUUAUAGGGUUGGUGUUAUGUUGUCACCUACUAGAAUCUCAAUAUCUCAACUGUGGUCAUGGGCAAGGAUGUGAUUAAUUAUACUUCAAAUUAAGGCUCCUAUGAUUUAAAAUAUUUUUUGUAGGAAUUGUAGAGGUUUGGAAUUCUCAGAUUUUUUUUCCUACGUGGGUCGUUUGAUUUGUAGAAUGGAAUUCUAGAGAACCUUUUUUUUUUCCUAAGGAUUCAUUUGCAUUGCAUUGCAUUUCGUAAAAAAAAACUUUCCAUCCACUCCAGUCUUUUGAAAAGAAUUCUCUGUUUUUCAGUGGUUUAAUCAAACAAACUUUGAUGCAAACAAAUCCUAUAGGGAUCAAGUGGACAUGUUAUCGCAAUCCUACAUUUUUUUAUAUUUUAUGUUUUCUCAAUUGUGUGAAUCAAGGAGACACUAGGCACAUGGUUUUUGAUUCAUUAUCGAGACUUGAGACUAGGAAUCGUGUGAACCAAAGAGACUACCACCAGUUAUGACUCACGUAGAUAUGGUUAAUCAGUGUUAAUGCUGUCACAUACGAGUAUCUCGAUAUCUAAUCUAUCGACAAUUCGACAUGGACAAAGAUGUGGUAAGCCCUCUAUGAAUCAAAGGAUUUUCAUACGAAAUUUGGUGGGUUGGAAUCCUUAGAAUUUUUUUCCUAUGUA